GAUGAACGCUGGCGGCGUGCCUAAUACAUGCAAGUCGAGCGAACGGACGAGAAGCUUGCUUCUCUGAUGUUAGCGGCGGACGGGUGAGUAACACGUGGAUAACCUACCUAUAAGACUGGGAUAACUUCGGGAAACCAGAGCUAAUACCGGAUAAUAUUUUGAACCGCAUUGUUCAAAAGUGAAAGACGGUCUUGCUGUCACUUAUAGAUGGAUCCGCGCUGCAUUAGCUAGUUGGUAAGGUAACGGCUUACCAAGGCAACGAUGCAUAGCCGACCUGAGAGGGUGAUCGGCCACACUGGAACUGAGACACGGUCCAGACUCCUACGGGAGGCAGCAGUAGGGAAUCUUCCGCAAUGGGCGAAAGCCUGACGGAGCAACGCCGCGUGAGUGAUGAAGGUCUUCGGAUCGUAAAACUCUGUUAUUAGGGAAGAACAUAUGUGUAAGUAACUGUGCACAUCUUGACGAUACCUAAUCAGAAAGCCACGGCUAACUACGUG
Molecule: ribosomal RNA, 497 nt
Filed under: uncultured bacterium
Lineage: Bacteria
Description: partial 16S ribosomal RNA
Rfam family: Bacterial small subunit ribosomal RNA
Source: RNAcentral